UGGAAAUAAUCCAAAAGGAUUCCUUCAGUAAUGGCGAAUGAACGGGGAAAAGCUCAGCAAAGAAAUCGAGGACUCCGGCCUUGAGUUGUGGACUUGAGAGGUAUCGCCAAUGGUGGCACAGGUGGGGGCCUCUUGGAAAAGGGCACCACAGAGGGUGUGAGUCCUGUUUGCCAUCUGUAGUCCGCUGUGUACGGCAUGCCUCCUCCGAGUCACGUUCCUUGGAAUUGGAGCGCGAAGGUGGUGGUGGCUUUCAUCUCAAGCUAAGUAUGGGUUCGAGACCGAUAGCAAACAAGUACCAUGAGGGAAAAUUGAAAAGAGCUUUGGAAAGAGAGUUAAAAGUGCCCGAACUUGCUGAUAGGGAAGCGAAGGGAGCUGACGUUGCUUGGUAACAUCUUCCGCGCAGGACUAGGAUGGGUUCUGAUUGCAAUGUGUGUUGUGUUUCUUGCCAUGCGUGUCAAUGCCAAGUAAUGAGUGGGGAGAGCUCCAGGGAUAAUGAUUGUUUCUGUCCCCGGGUAGACGAAUAUGUCUGGGUGCAUCCAUUUGUGGGCUGAAAAAUUGGUGGUUGGUUGCAGCUCCCUGCCUACGAGGCAAUUGGGGUGUAGCCCUGACACGCAGACGAGGACAAAG
RNAcentral lists this ribosomal RNA (627 nucleotides) under Prorocentrum lima. Its description in RNAcentral is "LSU rRNA". It matches the Rfam family "Eukaryotic large subunit ribosomal RNA", at positions 55 to 610 of the family's 3401-position model. The record is from RNAcentral. Lineage: Eukaryota; Dinophyceae; Prorocentrales; Prorocentraceae.